GCAUUGCACCAAUAGGAUCCCUUUUUCUGUGUCCUUUUGACAGGUUUUCAGAAGCAGAAAAGGGGAAUUAGAACACCCUCCAUCUAUACGCUGAGAAUUCCCAAAGCUCUCUAGGUGCUCAUCUCUCACCAGCUGCAGACCCGUAAAUUCAAAGGCCCACUGGCCAGCUUCGCCUGACCCCAAGCCCAGCACGUCCAGCCUGGCUCCUACCCACACCCAGGGCCGCUCUUCCCUGUGGGUUCCUUCCUAGGUUCCAGGGCAUUCUUGACCCUUCGAGCUCACACACACAGUCAAUCUCAGAAACCUGUCUCUCAAUUUAAUAUCAACCAAUCCCAUUCUUUUUUUUCAACAAUAUGACCGAUACGACAUCAGCUCAGCUCACCUCCAUCUCUGACCCGGUUUAUGGCCACACUCUCAGCUGUCUUUCCCUCGUUCUUGCCACGUGCCUUGUUUAAGAUCUUUCAAAGGCUCCCUUCAGCAUAAGACCCCAGGUCCCAGGACCCUUCAGCAGGGGCCCCACACAGCCCUGUCCACCCCACUCCUCCCUAAACGCCGUCCUCCUGCCCCUGCACCCACAGGGGCCCUGGCCUGACGCUUCCCCGUCUCCCCUUCUGCCUCAGUCCCAGUCAGACUUUGGUCUCAGCUGAGGAAGGUCUCACUACAACGUCUUCCUGACUCCCCAAGAAGGGCUCCAUGGCACCCCAACCUAAAACAGCUCUUAUCUCACCCUCUGCAUGAAAAUUUCCCUUUUCCUGUCUGUCUGUCCCCCCAGACGGGGAGCUCCUGGAAGGCAAAGGCUGUGGCCAACACUUCAUCCUCGUGUCCACCCAGCGCCUGCGUCGUCUGACGCUCAGCUCAUACUUGCCAAUUUAAACUGAGCCUAUAAACCAUGAGUGGAACGGGUGAGGGACCUGAGGGCGAGGGCCAGAGUGGCCAGCGUGGUUCAGCAGUCCAACGAAGUGAGGAAUGAAGCCUAACCUUCGACCCGGCAGCCAGCGCCUGCGCAACGCCACCAGAGAGGCCGCCACGUGCGCCAGACACCUGCUGGGGGACUGUCGGGAAGCAACGUGCAUCUUCUCUCCGCGGGCUCACGUUCGUGUGUGGGAACACAUACGUGCUAGCCCCCGCUUGGCCGCCCGUCGCCUGGAGCCAGAUCCUCCACAGCUGCCACCUGCCCUUGCCGGCUUCCUCCUGCCCCUGCCGGCUUCCUCGGCCACCCAGUCCACAGGCUUUCCAUUUCCAGGACCUCCUUGAAACAAAAACCCAACAAACCUGAAGGUAGAGAAGCAGGGCCCAGGUGGGAACCCCAGGCCACCAGCCCUUCCCCAGCCUUGGAAACACAAGGGCCUCUCUCUGCAUGAGAUUAUCUCCCCAAGAAGACAGGAAGCGCGUCUGGGAAGUGCGUUUCUCCUAAGACUGCUUUGGCCCGUGCUGAGGGUGAGCAGGACACCGCGGUCAGAGGGGCUGGCUGCCCGCCCCCAGGGAAACCCGAGGCCCACCGCCUUGGCUCUGUGGCCACAGGGGCCCUGGGGCAGUGUCCUGGCCGGAGAAGAGCCGCGGGACUCGCAGCCUGCAGACCUCCAGGGCCCCUGGCCUGGCCAAGCGUCAGGAUGGCCUGGAGAGCUCGCAGACCCGAGAAGCGGGGCUCCCCUCGGGCCUGGCCUGCGGGCGCAGGGGCGGCUGGUGCUGCUGGGGGCACGCCUGGGAGACGCGCACGGCCGCACGGCCGAGCUCACGGGCCGGGAGGCCUC
Dasypus novemcinctus (nine-banded armadillo) is the source of this 1751-nucleotide long non-coding RNA. The record is from Ensembl. Lineage: Eukaryota; Metazoa; Chordata; Mammalia; Cingulata; Dasypodidae.